UCCCUGGUGGUCCAGUGGCUAAGACUCUGCCCUCUCAAUGCAAGGGGCCCCAGUUCGAUCCCUGGUCAGGGAA
This 73-nucleotide transfer RNA is filed under the name Ovis aries (sheep). It matches the Rfam family "tRNA". Rfam says of the family: Transfer RNA (tRNA) molecules are approximately 80 nucleotides in length. Their secondary structure includes four short double-helical elements and three loops (D, anti-codon, and T loops). The record is from Rfam by way of RNAcentral. Lineage: Eukaryota; Metazoa; Chordata; Mammalia; Artiodactyla; Bovidae.